UACGGGGGGGGCAAGCGUUUUUCGGAAUUACUGGGCGUAAAGGGCGCGUAGGCGGGUGGACAAUUCUCUCGUGAAAGCCCACGGCUCAACCGUGGAAUUGCGGGAGAUACUGUCUGUCUUGAGUCCGGGAGAGGAGGGUGGAAUUCCCAGUGUAGCGGUGAAAUGCGUAGAUAUUGGGAGGAACAUCGGUGGCGAAUGCGGCUCUCUGGACCGGUACUGACGCUGAGGUGCGAAAGCUAGGGGAGCAAACGGG
This 253-nucleotide ribosomal RNA is filed under the name uncultured bacterium. RNAcentral's name for it is "partial 16S ribosomal RNA". It matches the Rfam family "Bacterial small subunit ribosomal RNA", at positions 524 to 776 of the family's 1533-position model. The record is from RNAcentral.